GGUAUUGAAAUAAGAUUUUAAUUGAAUGCUAAGAGAAUGGAAGUCCAGAAAAAAACUUUUUUUAAAUUAAAAAUUGAAGUUUUUUUAAUUUGUGCAGAAACAAUUAUUUAUAUUAAAGACAAGAAGACCCUAUGAAUUUAUUAAAUUUUUAUUUAAUAUGUAAUUACUAUUAGAAAAAUUUUGGCUGGGGCGGCUAGAAAAUAUUAUAAACUUUUUAAAAAUAAAAUGAUCCAUUAUUAAGGAUUUUAUGUUAAAUACUCUAGGGAUAACACCGA
RNAcentral lists this ribosomal RNA (275 nucleotides) under Rhipicephalus sanguineus (brown dog tick). RNAcentral describes it as "partial large subunit ribosomal RNA". The record is from RNAcentral. Lineage: Eukaryota; Metazoa; Arthropoda; Arachnida; Ixodida; Ixodidae.